UACGUAGGGGGCUAGCGUUGUCCGGAAUCAUUGGGCGUAAAGAGCGUGUAGGCGGUCCGGUAAGUCCGCUGUGAAAGUCAGGGGCUCAACCCUUGGAUGCCGGCGGAUACUGCCGGGCUAGAGUCCGGAAGAGGCGAGUGGAAUUCCCGGUGUAGCGGUGAAAUGCGCAGAUAUCGGGAGGAACACCUAUGGCGAAGGCAGCUCGCUGGGACGGUACUGACGCUGAGACGCGAAAGCGUGGGGAGCAAACAGGAUUAGAAACCCGU
This 266-nucleotide ribosomal RNA is filed under the name uncultured bacterium. RNAcentral's name for it is "partial 16S ribosomal RNA". It matches the Rfam family "Bacterial small subunit ribosomal RNA", at positions 524 to 789 of the family's 1533-position model. The record is from RNAcentral.